This 2734-nucleotide long non-coding RNA is filed under the name Homo sapiens (human). RNAcentral's name for it is "non-protein coding lnc-POPDC2-5:1". The record is from RNAcentral. Lineage: Eukaryota; Metazoa; Chordata; Mammalia; Primates; Hominidae.
AUGAUGAGAUUGAACCUCAAUAGGCAGCACAUCUAAUGCCAAGACUGGUCUUUGAUGUGUGAGUGCAUCUGGUGCAGAGGUGAAUACUGGGGCUUACCUGUCAUUGACAGGCAAAAGGGCAGUGCAGAACUUCCCAAUAAUGGUAGUCCGGUCUUUUUUCCAAACUCGGUUGGAAGACUGAAACUUGAAUUUCACUUGGUUUAUCUGGCAUUGUGGGGUGGCAUGGGCUAUGAUUCCUUUCCCAUAGCGUUGCUGCUUAGGUCUGCAAGAAAAGGGUAAAGGGAAAGUAAAUGACUGUAGCCCUUACCACCUGUACUUCCCCUUUGGCUCCGAUCGGGCUCUGCUGGUGGCACUGGUUGGCUGUCAUGCACCAAGGGGUUAGCUCCUUACCACAGUCCUUUGUGUCACCUUCACCAGCCCCUCUGCCCACACCUACAGCUUUGAAUAUGACCAAGAAAGUAGUUGUUGAUUUUUUAGAAUAAACAAGUGGACACUGCAACAAAAUAGUAGCUCCUGGAUUUUCAUAUCUGGAAAAACUGUUCCUCGUUCUUGGAUUCCUAGCUGGAGGAGAUCUUCACCUUCAGAUCUAAUUACCCAGAAGUAGAAACCCUCUUUUAGGACAUUCCUUUUCAAAGAAUUCUGUGUAAGGACUUUUCUGUUUUAGGCUAAGUAUGAAUGUGUGGGUGGAAACAGCAACAAGAAAACAUCAUGAAGCGCAGACAGAGUUGGGUGGAACCCAGGUUUGUCUUCCCAGCUGUAUGGCUUUGGACAAGUUACCUAAGCUGGCAAGGUGGCUGUGGAGUCACAUAGCAACUAGGUGUAAGUUCCAGCUUCCCUACAUGCUGCUAUGAACUUGAACCGUAGGGUUUGGUUCAUACUGACUUCAGCUGAGGAGACUCAGAGUGAAAAUGGCAUCCAGUUCUGUCUUAACCCAGCCUCUUGGCUUUGCCCCCCCAGAUUCCCUUUAUGUUUAAAGAUUCAGGCACCACUUUGGACUGAGACAAAGAUGAGGGAGGAGUAUGAAGUGAUCAACCUAGCAGGGUGCUUCCAAAAGGGCUGUGGUACCCCCUAGGUACUAGGUACUGGAGACAAAAGCAAAAAAUCGUGAGAUUCAAUGAGGAAAGUCUUCACGCUGAGUGCAAGGCACAGCCCAGCCAGCAGAUCCUGAGGGUGGUGAGUGGGGGAUCAAGGAGGGCGCCCAGCAGAGCUGCACCACCCAGCUAGGGAAGGAAUUUGACUUGUGGGGCCCUUUGUGAUCCUCCCUGGAAUCCAAGUGGGACUCUGAAAAAGAGGAAAGAAGGAGGGCGCUGCGUUCCUCUCGGCGGGGGCAGGGGUGGUGUGGGGAACCACCCUUGCCAACUGGGUUUCCUGUUCCUUUCUGGCCUUCGCAGAGUGGUGAUAGGGCCUCUUUGUGUUCUUUUUAGUCCAGUGUUAGUCAUAUCACUUGUUUUUUCCUUCUGAGGGAAGAUCAUGUAUAAUUUUGUUUAAAAACCAUUCCCUCUUUUUUUAAAUUCACAAGUCUUUUGAAAUAUUACAGAGGGAAUAAAUAAGAUUGUUUCCUUUAAGCUUAGACUGAAGAGUUUGUAAAAUACAAGGAAUAUGAAAAAUCUUUUAAGUGAGUGGUUUGGGGAGUUGGCCCAGGUUAAUUCUCCAAUUAGAAGGAAAUCUUAGCGUCGCAUAAAGCUAUAGAAAUUUGGAAAAAGACCACACAUAACCUCCCCGUUUUUCCCCCAAUUUCUGAUCUGCAAGAAGUGAAUCAUGUUCUGGUGCCUUCUUCAAAAGAGUUAUGUGAACCUCUUCAUGGAGGAGGAAGCGCUAAUCUGUGGAUGUUGACUGGAAUUACUCGGGGAGCUUUUAAAAUGUAGCUGUGGAGCCUAUGCCCAGAGACCCUGAUGUGAUUGGUCUGGGUUGGGGGGCUUGGCGUCAGUAUUUUUUAAAGCUCUCCAGGUGAUUCUAACGUGCAGUCAGGGUUGUGGGUCAUUUUCAUGACUCCUGCCAGUGUUGCUGGACCUACCAAUGGGCUAGAAGAUGAUGAAAACACCCUUCUAGAAGUAGCACAACCUUGAGCGGGUCUAAUGAAAGGUACUUGGCUUACUGAUAUCCAGCCACAAUCUGCAAGGCUCUGUGGGCACCUGCAGGCCUGUGCUGGAAUCCUGAUGGCUGUACCUAGCUGUGUGACUUUGGGUGAGCCAGAAGGAACACCAGCUAGUGGCCACGGUUUUGGGAGUGAAAUGCACUCCUUCCAGCAGAAACUUGUAGUGCCUCACAGCAGAGUUCAUGUCCAACAUCCCAACCCGAGAAAUAUCUCCAAACUCACAUCUGAUCUCAUCACUGUCCUGUUUAAAACUCCCAGUGGCUCUCCAAACUACUCUCAGGAUAAAAACCUGUCCUUCAAGGCCUGGCAGGGUCUGGCUCUGACUUGCCUCUCCAGCCUCACAGCAUCCCCACAACCCCAAAUCUGUGCUCCAGACACACCAGAGGUGUCACAUUCUCUCUAAGCCUGGCCUGGGUAGCUCCUGGAAAGCCUGCUCAUCAUUUCCUUGGACUCAGUCAGACUCUGUCUUCUAUGCUGUCACUCUCAGGGCAUUGCUCACUCAUUUAAGUGUGUGUGCACUGGUCAUUUCCCUGUUUGCUCUGGACUGAUCUAUUCCCCUGCAGGUUCCCCCACCAACAGGUUCCAGUGAGGUCUAACCCAGUGGAAGCAUGCUCAGGUGGGUGGCUGCUUUGGGCAGGG